UAGAUACCCUGGUAGUCCAUGCCGUAAACGUUGGGCACUAGGUGUGGGGGACAUUCCACGUUUUCCGCGCCGUAGCUAACGCAUUAAGUGCCCCGCCUGGGGAGUACGGCCGCAAGGCUAAAACUCAAAGGAAUUGACGGGGGCCCGCACAAGCGGCGGAGCAUGCGGAUUAAUUCGAUGCAACGCGAAGAACCUUACCAAGGCUUGACAUGUGCCAGACCGCUCCAGAGAUGGGGUUUCCCUUCGGGGCUGGUUCACAGGUGGUGCAUGGUUGUCGUCAGCUCGUGUCGUGAGAUGUUGGGUUAAGUCCCGCAACGAGCGCAACCCUCGUUCCAUGUUGCCAGCACGUAGUGGUGGGGACUCAUGGGAGACUGCCGGGGUCAACUCGGAGGAAGGUGGGGAUGACGUCAAAUCAUCAUGCCCCUUAUGUCUUGGGCUUCACGCAUGCUACAAUGGCCGGUACAAUGGGUUGCGAUACUGUGAGGUGGAGCUAAUCCCUAAAAGCCGGUCUCAGUUCGGAUUGGGGUCUGCAACUCGACCCCAUGAAGUCGGAGUCGCUAGUAAUCGCAGAUCAGCAACGCUGCGGU
RNAcentral lists this ribosomal RNA (587 nucleotides) under uncultured bacterium. Its description in RNAcentral is "bacterial SSU rRNA". It matches the Rfam family "Bacterial small subunit ribosomal RNA", at positions 779 to 1363 of the family's 1533-position model. The record is from RNAcentral.